GCCAGGCCCCGCCCAUGCGCCGUAGGGGCCGCUGGGGGUUCCGCGGCAACCUUGACCUUGUGAAGGUCACGCCGCUGCCAGUACCCGAGCGGGCGGGAGGGCGGCUGCGGAGUCAGAAGCCCACCCUGAUGCCCCGUUCGCUCCGAGUGCGCCGUCCGCUUUCUCCCGGAGGCCGCGGCGACCCCGCCGGGAUGUGCGACAUGUGGUGCCCCGACCCCCGAUCCUUGACCCUUGACCUCCAGGCAGCUCCGACCCUUUCAACACUCUCCGGGGUCGUGCGUCGGGAGACCCCGGCCCCUGCCCGCGUGCACCCGGGGAGCCCCGCGCGAAGCCUGCGGCGGCUUCCACGUGGGCGCGGCUCAGUCCCGCUACCGAUCCGUGACUCCGCGCCGCCCUCCGCGCCCGGCCUAGCCUCAGUGAGGCCGAGCUGGACGGGGCCCUGGUGCUGGUUUUCAGUGCCUCAGCGAGGCCGGGACCAGAGCUGCUAUUUCCAGAUGAGGCUGGCUCGCAUCUGCUCUGGCCGGGGCUCCAGAGUGCUGCACGUGGGACUUAGCCUUGGACACUAACUCCUUUGCCCCUCGUAUCUGGGAGGGAACAACACAGUCGCUAUGCCUGACUAGGGCAUGACCUGGGAGGCCUUUGGGGCCACACAGCCUCCCUGGGAAAGGAGGAUCAGGACCGAGAAGAAAGGAAUGAGCCCCGAUCCGCCUGCCAGGUACCCAUCCAUGAGAACCCCUUCUCUGCCAGCAUCUGAUAAAAUUACCUGCGUGGCUUUAGAGAUCACUGCUGCCUGACCAGCAGCCGCUCUCCUGGAAUCUGUGUCCAGAAAGCCCCUUGGGGCUCAGAAAAGUAGUAGAGAUGGGGUUCCAUCCAUCCAUUCCAGAAGCAUUUGCCAAGCACAUCCUGGGUGCCAGGCCCAAGCAGGCUGGUCUCGAACUCCUGACCUCAAGUGGUCCGCCCACCUCGGCCUCCCAAAGUGCCGGGAUGACAGCUGUGAGCCACUGCGCCCCACCCAGAAGCAGAGGUGUUUUAACGGGAAGACUUCAGGCUUCAUCGGACUGCCGGGAAGGAAUCAGAGCCGGG
RNA transcript from Pan troglodytes (chimpanzee), 1083 nucleotides. RefSeq lists it as uncharacterized. The record is from RefSeq and is a predicted model, not a curated record. Lineage: Eukaryota; Metazoa; Chordata; Mammalia; Primates; Hominidae. The transcript is spliced from 5 exons.